CCGCAAAGCAUGCAUUGAUGCCAAGUUUAUUUUGAACUGUGUUGCAGUGUUGAAGUUAUUCACGUUGUUAUAUUUUAACUCAUAUAGUGAGAAAUACACGAAUCUAUUGGGAUAAUAUUAACUAUCGAAUUGUUGAUUUGUGCUACCAACGUCCGGGACAACAAAUGAGUGUACACUGUAUACUGUAGUUUGGAUUUUAAAUCACUUGAUUGUGCUGGAAAUAAUUGGUCUACAAAUAGUCUGUGGUUUCUGAGUGUCUCCAGCUCAGAUCUUUUAUAUAACUGAGAAUCUCUAACUGCAGACGGGAUGUGGCAGAUGGUUCUUCUAAGGAUUUUAUAGUCCCCAAACUUGCGACUGAGUAUUACAGUCCCUUGGAGGCGGGAUGGAUUCCUGGCGUCCAAAUAUAAAUGCAAAGCCGUUUGUUCCCAGGCGGAGAAAUUAUGCUUCCCUUCAUAUCCCAGGAACCUACCAUAGAACUGCGACGAGACGGUUGUUAUCAAAGGUAUUUCAGAUGGUCUUGGUGGUUGUACUUUUUAUCACGGUACUCAUCAACAUUUUCUUUAUCGCAGACACAGGGAAACGUUUACGAGAACAAGGUGUUGUAGAAGGUGGAACUGAUCCAAGAGAGGCCCCAAGAAAUGCGCCGCCUCCUGAUGAUGAAGAGUCCGAAAACUUGGAGAAUAUCCCCCGAGAGAUGGAAAUUGAAGUUCUGUCCAGCGCCAAUAAGGUUGCCAUAUCUGUAGAUGGAACACAGGUCCUUGAAAAUGGUGAGAAAGACAAGGGGCGGGGCAUUCACAUUCUGGUUUUGAACCAAGCCACCGGUAGUGUGAUGGCUAGCCGAGUGUUUGACACAUACACAGCGCACGCCGACGCAUCCAUGGUCCUGUUUCUAAACAUGAUUUCCGAUGGAAGGAUCAUUAUUCUUACAGUGAAGGAUGAAGGCUCAUUCCAUUUAAAGGACACUGCCAGAAAUCUACUGAAACUUCUUGGAAGUGAGAAAUCUAUGCAUUUGGGAUGGCGUGACACAUGGGCAAUGGUCACGCAGAAGAAGGGAAAACACGGUCAUUUAUUUGUUGAAAAGCAUCAUAAGGCGCCCGAUGUAUCAAAAUGGGGCGCCCCCGUACUACUCAAAGCUGUAGUACCCUUAGUUCCCAAAGAAGAAGUAGAGUGUGACUGGCCGGACACGGAAACAAACCGUCGACGGCGAGAAUUCUGUAGCAAGAUAGAAGGCUACGGGAGUCUAUGCAGCUGUAGCGACCCAGCCCCAAUUGAAAUGAACCCCGAAAAGCUUACGCCAAAUAAUAUAGAGGAUGUUCCAGUGAUAGUAAUAGCUAGUAACCGUCCUAAUUAUCUGUAUAGAAUGCUAAUGGCAUUGCUGUCUGCACAAGGUGUGCAUCCUCAAAUGGUAACAGUGUUCAUAGAUGGAUAUUUCAACGAACCAUUAGAAGUAGUGAGGUUGUUUGGCGUGCAAGGAAUUCAGCACACCCCCAUUGGUGUCAAGAAUGCUCGUAUAUCACAGCAUUACAAAGCAAGUUUAACAGCAACAUUUAAUAUGUAUCCGAAAGCAGAGUAUGUGAUUAUUUUAGAAGAAGAUCUAGAUGUCUCAGAAGAUUUUUUUAGUUAUUUUAGUCAGACUAGACACUUAUUAGAGGAAGAUGACAGUAUAUAUUGUAUAUCUGCCUGGAAUGACCAGGGAUAUGAACAUACCUGCAAUGAUCCAAGUUUAUUGUACAGAGUAGAGACAAUGCCAGGCCUAGGCUGGAUGCUAAAACGUAGUAUUUACAAAGAGGAGUUAGAGCCUCACUGGCCAACACCAGAGAAGGUAAAAACAAUUAUAAAGCCUGGUUCUCGCGAGAGCCCUAGUAUCAACCAAUCACAGGUACGUAUUUACAAUUUCCAGUUUCUUAUUGGCCAGUUAUUUGAUCAUCAUAUUCUUGGUAUCAGGAUCGGGGUUUUCUCGUAUGGACGGACGGUAUAGUAGCUUCUGUACCAUGGUCACUUUUUCGUACCACAGAUCUUUCCGAGUUUCUGGUAUUCUUCUUGUAUUAGUAUCAUUGAGUGGCUAUUGUUACAACAGACUUCUGAGAAUUUUGAUUGGAUAUUAUUGUAAUGUAGUGUAAUGGUCAUGCAUUUGGCUUUUCCAAAAGAUACCAAUGAUCCAGAAUAAGAGGAAAAAAAACCAAUAAAGCCAAAAUUGAUUGUUGUUUUAAGUAGCAACUAAAAAGAACUAUUUUAAUAAUUCCUGCAUACAAAAACAUCCAAUGAUUAGGAAAUUGUUUAAAGAAUGGUGUAACAAUAGCCACUGUCUAUUAUUACUAUGUGUUUAUUGAUGAUAAUUAUGUUUUCCUUGGUGCUUUUUCAGCUUUGGGAUUGGGAUAUGUGGAUGAGGCUUCCAGAUAUACGGAAAGGUCGGGAGUGCGUUAUUCCAGACAUUUCCCGAACUUACCAUUUUGGUGCUACCGGUGUAAAUAUGAAUAGUUAUUUUCAAGAUUUAUAUUUUAAAAAACAUCC
Molecule: unclassified non-coding RNA, 2511 nt
Filed under: Anneissia japonica
Lineage: Eukaryota; Metazoa; Echinodermata; Crinoidea; Comatulida; Comatulidae
Description: protein O-linked-mannose beta-1,2-N- acetylglucosaminyltransferase 1-like, transcript variant X6
Source: RNAcentral